Molecule: long non-coding RNA, 3482 nt
Organism: Hemicordylus capensis (graceful crag lizard)
Lineage: Eukaryota; Metazoa; Chordata; Lepidosauria; Squamata; Cordylidae
Exons: 3
Source: RefSeq, a predicted model, not a curated record
GACAGCCCCCUUGGAAAAAGCUCCGCAGCAGCACAGCGGGGUAGAAACGACCCUCGGGAGGAAGGGGGAGCCCUCCUCCACCCCACUGACCCACGCAGAAGAACGAGCACUCCUCCUCACCUGUGCCAACAGGAAACGGCCGGGGAGAGAGCGAGACAGGGCAGCCCCACUCCGAGCAACUGCGGCGGCAGCAGCGGGCGGGAGGGAGCGGGAGAGAGCGCACGCGAUCACCCCUCCCUUUCCCCCGUCUUCGCGGGCAGCCAAGGGCACACAGCUCCGUUGUCACCGCCGAGCUGGCUGCGAUUGGCUGGUCCCAGCCGCUGGCAGCGCCCAGGUGAGCUCCAAGCAAGGACGCCACUGCGCCUGCUCAGCUCCGGGGCUCACCUGGGCGCUCAGGUAGACGCAGCGCUCUCCUUCCGCUCCUCUAACGGAAGGCAGCAGUCCGCGUGCCCAGGGGAGCUGCAGAACGCGCGCGCCAUCCCCUUGUGCCUCCCCCCCACCCCGCCGCGCUCUGGGCUCUGUUCUUUGCGGGCCUCGUCGCUGUUCCCGCCUCUGCGCGCCCAGGAGGCGCACGCUUGGAAGGCCUUGUUCUGUUCACGCCUCUCUUGCUCUCCAGUUAUUUUCGAGGCCGAGGGGCCUUACUGCACCCCAACCGCACUUUAGGCAUGUUGACACAAUCUCACUGCGGUGGCUAUGCCUUACUCCUAGGAAAACAUGCAACGGGCUAACCACUCGUUUUCGUCCUUUUUUAUGUGCGCAAUAAUCCUGACGGAGUCCCAUCGCUCCACUUGAAGAUGGAAGGGAGCUGAACAUCGAAAUUAUCCCACAGGCUGCUGAGACGCGCGCCAUCCUUUUUCUGUUCGCUUCCAACAGGGCAAAGACACGGGGAACCAUCUGCGACGAAGCUAUGCAAGGCAGAUAAACCGGCUUUUUGCUUGGAGAGGGGGCCAAAACAUAAUAAAAUAGACUCAUGCUUCUGGUCUGCGUCCAGUUACCUUGAAUACGAGGUUGCUAAGAACACGUACUACUUCCCCAGUUUAGACUGAACCAGGUAAAAUUUAGUAAAUCUGGACUAAAAUGAAUAUCUCGUGUCCCCUUAUUCAUAGUGGUUAGGGAGGAAAGCAGCACAAAGCUUGCAAGGGGUAGUUAAUGUUGCAAUGGGCAGUUCUGCAUAGAAAGCAUAUUAAUGACAAAAAAGCUCAAUAAUAUCAGAUUAUAGAAGACAGAUUUCCAGAAGCCAAGUUAAUGUAAGGAUUUUCUGUCCUCAAUGACAGCAUAUUACUCUUAACUAUGCAUUGGGCUACACAAGAAAUUUUACAAGGGACUUCUUAUAUUGCCAAAACUGACAUUUUGGCAGAGCAAGUGCAUCAGAUAAAAGAAGUACAGUAUCAGUUUUGUCAAGAUGAUAAAUGGGCACCUUUUAUUUUGCUUUGAAAUAAAUAUUGUACUUUGGUAAGGUAUUCGGUAACAGUAUUACUCAAUACUAUUUCGGUAGUGAAAUACAUUUUGAUUGCGGUGGGGGGCGGUUAGUGGAGACUUGUCCCUUUGUAAGAAAACAAUGUUUUGUUUUUAAAACCUGUUAUGUAGAAAUAUAGGAUUCUUACUGGAAAUGUCUAGUAACUGCAAAGACUUGCAAAGCAAUAGAAAAUAAGUUCAUUGCAUAUUUUAAAGAGACAUUCUUAAUGGAAAUUGACACAUGAAACUGCACUGAUGAAACUAACAGGAGAACUAAUGAAUCACAUAGAGAGAGGUCCCUUUUGCUUACUGGAGCAGUUACUGUGAAGGCCAUUUAUAGGGUGAUAUCUACUGUUAUGGAUAGCACUCAGCUUUGCUGGGUGUCUGAUUCAGGGGCUGAGCCAACACGGCUGGAGUGGGCCCAGAGACAAAAUUUUAAAAUGGGCCCCUUGCUGAUACACACACACACUUCACAAUAUAUAGUCAUGUUACUUGCCUCUGGGGGGCCCCUCGAGGUGUGGGGGCCCCCAGGCAGCCGCCUCCCCUUGCCUAAUAGUAGUUACGCGCGCCCCUGGUCUGAUCUUAAAUUGACAGCAGGGCCUGAGCAGAGGCAUUUUAGCCCAAGAAAAACCAUUUUGUGCACUCUUGCUGUGAAAGACUUUUUUUGCUGAGAACACCAAAAACACCUGCUGUUGUGGAGCUCUUGAGCCUUGGCCUCUCUCCUCCCAGUCAAAGCAAGGCUGAGCUUGGAGCAUGACAAUGCUUGUUUUGAAUUGGGAGGGGGGAAAGUGCUCAUGAAACAGCUUAUCAGAGGCCUGAACAGUGCUCUCAAGACAAAGGAGAAGGAACUGGAGUGAUUGUCAGAGGGAUUCUAUCUUGGAAGGUUAUUUUUGUGCAAGCUGUUCCUGUACUUUAGGAGAGAGAGGUUUUCGUACUUGCUACGGUCUUUGGAACGGAGUACCUCUAUGCAUACUACAUGUUACAAAGGGCAAGAGAGAAGCAUCACUAUUUCAUGUUGCUAUUGCCAUAGGAUGCUAACAUUUCCAGUGUGACUGAACAAGGCAAUAGAAAAUGCAGACUCACUCCCCCGGCCUCCUCCUUCAACAGCAGAGUGGAAGGAGGAAAAAAGGAGAAUAAGAGAUUGGGAUAGACUGGAUUCGUGGUACCAUCCAACAGUAAAGAUAAGUACGAAAUGGAGAAAGAUAAAAGGAUGAAGAGAAAAUUGUUCUGCCAUGAGCCAGUGCAGGACUGAAAGAACUGGGUGGAUUCAUCCUCCCCAGGCUCUUAAAGCUCUUGUUUAAUUUGCAUAGUGCUGCCUUGAGCCAUGUGGAGAAGAUAACCCACUGAGAUAUCCUCGGAGGCAACUGCAGAGAAAGUAUGUUUUUUUGCUCCAGAAUUAUUGUUUUUAAUAACCGAGCAAAGAGGCAACUUUUAAAAGUGAAGUUAUUUAGCAGGGCGAGAGCAUCUGGCCUGAUCCAUCCCUAGCACAGCAUCCCUCCAGUGGCUGUUGCUAGGGUCUAUCUUAUGUUUCUUUUUUUAGAUUGUGAGCCUUUGGGACAGGGAGCCAUUUUUACUUAUUUAAUUUUAUCUAUGUAAACCACUUUGGGAACUUUUAUUGAAAAGUGGUAUAUAAAUAUUUGUUGUUCUAUUUGUUUUUACACCUAUACAAGUUUAUGCAGAUUUAACGGACUGAUGGAAGAUUUCUUUGAAAGCAUACAUCAGACCGGCUACUUUAGACAAGAAUCUUCAAAUAAAUGAAAUUCUAUUUUCUUAAUUGGGACAUUUUCAGUUUAAAAUAUCCAGCUGAAUGCAAGUGUCCCCCAUAGGGAUAAAACAAGAAUUUGAAAAACUAAACUAAAUAUGAAAUUUUUGUUGACCUCUUUGUCAGGUGCACUCUAAGAACUUAUUUCCCAUUACUACAGAUGUAUGUACAUUUGGCAAACAUUCUUCUCCAUCUGGAACACGAUAGGGAACAAAAUGGCAUAAAUAGCUAAGCAGGAACCUACCUAUUGUUGGAUUUGUUUGGU